CAAAUGAAGAGUUUGAUCCUGGCUCAGGAUGAACGCUGGCGGCAUGCCUAAUACAUGCAAGUCGAACGGAGAAGGAAGGUGCUUGCAUCUUCCGGAUCAGUGGCGAACGGGUGAGUAACACGUAGGUAACCUGCCCAUGUACCCGGGACAACGGUUGGAAACGACUGCUAAAACCGGAUAGGCAUAUGGAAGGCAUCUUCGAUAUGUUAAAGGGGCCACGGCCCUGGACAUGGAUGGACCUGCGGUGCAUUAGCCAGUUGGUGAGGUAACGGCCCACCAAGGCGACGAUGCAUAGCCGACCUGAGAGGGCGAACGGCCACAUUGGGACUGAGACACGGCCCAAACUCCUACGGGAGGCAGCAGUAGGGAAUUUUCGUCAAUGGGGGGAACCCUGAACGAGCAAUGCCGCGUGAGUGAAGACGGUCUUCGGAUUGUAAAGCUCUGUUGCGAGAGAAAAAGGACAGGAAGAGGGAAUGCUUCCGGUUUGAUGGUAUCUCGCCAGAAAGUCACGGCUAACUACGUGCCAGCAGCCGCGGUAAUACGUAGGUGGCGAGCGUUAUCCGGAAUGAUUGGGCGUAAAGGGUACGUAGGCGGCCAGAUAAGUCUGGUGUGAAAGGCUGCAGCUCAACUGCAGCACUGCACUGGAAACUGUCCGGCUGGAGUGCAGAAGAGGGCGAUGGAACUCCAUGUGUAGCGGUAAAAUGCGUAGAUAUAUGGAAGAACACCGGUGGCGAAGGCGGUCGCCUGGUCUGCAACUGACGCUGAAGUACGAAAGCGUGGGGAGCAAAUAGGAUUAGAUACCCUAGUAGUCCACGCCGUAAACGAUGAGAACUAGGUGUUGGGGGAAUAACUCAGUGCCGCAGUCAACGCAAUAAGUUCUCCGCCUGGGGAGUAUGCACGCAAGUGUGAAACUCAAAGGAAUUGACGGGGGCCCGCACAAGCGGUGGAGUAUGUGGUUUAAUUCGAAGCAACGCGAAGAACCUUACCAGGCCUUGACAUCCCCUGCAAAGAUGCAGAGAUGUAUCGGAGGCUAUCAGGGAGACAGGUGGUGCAUGGUUGUCGUCAGCUCGUGUCGUGAGAUGUUGGGUUAAGUCCCGCAACGAGCGCAACCCUUGUGAUAUGUUACCAGUAUCAAGUUAGGGACUCAUAUCAGACUGCCGGUGACAAACCGGAGGAAGGUGGGGAUGACGUCAAAUCAUCAUGCCCCUUAUGGCCUGGGCCACACACGUACUACAAUGGCGGAUACAGAGGGCAGCGACAGGGCGACCUGGAGCGAAUCCCGAAAAGUCCGUCCCAGUUCGGAUUGGAGUCUGCAACCCGACUCCAUGAAGUUGGAAUCGCUAGUAAUCGCGAAUCAGCAUGUCGCGGUGAAUACGUUCUCGGGCCUUGUACACACCGCCCGUCAAACCAUGGGAGUCAGUAAUACCCGAAGCCGGUGGCAUAACCUUAGGGAGUGAGCCGUCGAAGGUAGGACCGAUGACUGGGGUUAAGUCGUAACAAGGUAUCCCUACGGGAACGUGGGGAUGGAUCACCUCCUUUCUAAGGAGA
This is a ribosomal RNA of 1548 nucleotides. It matches the Rfam family "Bacterial small subunit ribosomal RNA".